GAUGAAGAACGUAGCGAAAUGCGAUACUUGGUGUGAAUUGCAGAAUCCCGUGAACCAUCGAGUCUUUGAACGCAAGUUGCGCCUCAAGCCAUUAGGUUGAGGGCACGUCUGCCUGGGCGUCACAUAUCGUUGCCUGAUGCCAGUUUCCUCGUGAUGGGUGACUGUGCAGGGCGAAUGAUGGCUUCCCGUGAGCAUUGUUGCCUCAUGGUUGGUUGAAAAUUGAGUCCUUGGUAGGGAGCGCCGUGAUAGAUUGUGGUUGAGUGACGAACGAGACCCAAUCAUGUGAGACCCCUACCGAAUUUAGCCUUCAUGACCCACAUGCGUCUUUGGAACGCUCAUGACGAGACCUCAGGUCAGGCGGGGCUACCCGCUGAGUUUAAGCAUAUCAAUAAGCGGAGGA
RNAcentral lists this unclassified non-coding RNA (400 nucleotides) under soil metagenome. Its description in RNAcentral is "partial contains 5.8S ribosomal RNA, internal transcribed spacer 2, and large subunit ribosomal RNA". The stretch from base 1 to 122 matches the Rfam family "5.8S ribosomal RNA", at positions 35 to 154 of the family's 154-position model. The record is from RNAcentral.